GCAGUCGACGCUGAAGCCUGGUGCUUGCACCGGGUGGAUGAGUGGCGAACGGGUGAGUAACACGUGAGUAACCUGCCCCUGACUUCGGGAUAAGCCCGGGAAACUGGGUCUAAUACCGGAUACGACUGCCGGACGCAUGUCUGGUGGUGGAAAGUUUUUUCGGUUGGGGAUGGGCUCGCGGCCUAUCAGUUUGUUGGUGAGGUAAUGGCUCACCAAGACGACGACGGGUAGCCGGCCUGAGAGGGCGACCGGCCACACUGGGACUGAGACACGGCCCAGACUCCUACGGGAGGCAGCAGUGGGGAAUAUUGCACAAUGGGGGAAACCCUGAUGCAGCGACGCAGCGUGCGGGAUGACGGCCUUCGGGUUGUAAACCGCUUUCAGCAGGGAAGAAGCGCAAGUGACGGUACCUGCAGAAGAAGUACCGGCUAACUACGUGCCAGCAGCCGCGGUAAUACGUAGGGUACGAGCGUUGUCCGGAAUUAUUGGGCGUAAAGAGCUCGUAGGUGGUUGGUCACGUCUGCUGUGGAAACGCAACGCUUAACGUUGCGCGUGCAGUGGGUACGGGCUGACUAGAGUGCAGUAGGGGAGUCUGGAAUUCCUGGUGUAGCGGUGAAAUGCGCAGAUAUCAGGAGGAACACCGGUGGCGAAGGCGGGACUCUGGGCUGUAACUGACACUGAGGAGCGAAAGCAUGGGGAGCGAACAGGAUUAGAUACCCUGGUAGUCCAUGCCGUAAACGUUGGGCACUAGGUGUGGGGGGCAUUCCACGUUCUCCGCGCCGUAGCUAACGCAUUAAGUGCCCCGCCUGGGGGAGUACGGUCGCAAGGCUAAAACUCAAAGGAAUUGACGGGGGCCCGCACAAGCGGCGGAGCAUGCGGAUUAAUUCGAUGCAACGCGAAGAACCUUACCAAGGCUUGACAUACACCGGACCGUCCUGGAAACAGGUCCUCUUCUUUGAAGCUGGUGUACAGGUGGGUGCAUGGUUGUCGUCAGCUCGUGUCGUGAGAUGUGUUGGGGUUAAGUCCCGCAACGAGCGCAACCCUCGUUCUAUGUUG
RNAcentral lists this ribosomal RNA (1056 nucleotides) under uncultured bacterium. Its description in RNAcentral is "bacterial SSU rRNA". It matches the Rfam family "Bacterial small subunit ribosomal RNA", at positions 57 to 1117 of the family's 1533-position model. The record is from RNAcentral.